AAGCUCGUAGUUGAAUUUCGGGAUCAAUUGAUUGGUCAUGCCAUUGGUAUGUACUGGUCAUAUUGGUUCUCACCUUCUAAGGAACCAUAAUGUCAUUAAUUUGAUGUUUUGGGGAAUUAGGACUGUUACCUUGAAAAAAUUAGAGUGUUUAAAGCAGGCUAACGCUUGAAUACAUUAGCAUGGAAUAAUGAAAUAGGACAUCGCAUUCUAUUUUGUUGGUUUCUAGGAUCGAUGUAAUGAUUAAUAGGGAUAGUUGGG
Molecule: ribosomal RNA, 258 nt
Filed under: uncultured Glomus
Lineage: Eukaryota; Fungi; Glomeromycota; Glomeromycetes; Glomerales; Glomeraceae
Description: partial 18S ribosomal RNA
Rfam family: Eukaryotic small subunit ribosomal RNA
Source: RNAcentral